AUGUUGGAUUAUGCUGAUAAGGCUCUUAAGGAACAAUAUCAAGCUGAUUUAAGGAAGAUUCUAAGGGAGGAAGAAGCUAAAUGGAGGCAAACAUCCCAUGAGAUUGAGUUACAUGAUGGAUACUUGAACACAAGAUACUAUCAUGCUAAAGCAAAUGGUAGACAUAGAAGAAAUAUAAUUGUUAGGUUAGUUCAAGAGGAAGGGGUGAUUGAAGGACAGGAAAAUCAUAAGACUUGUAUCACUGAAUUUUAUGAAAAUUUGUUUGGGGAACUUGAGGUUGUCAUUGAGAAUGGAUGGUGA
Molecule: ribosomal RNA, 300 nt
Filed under: Triticum aestivum (bread wheat)
Lineage: Eukaryota; Viridiplantae; Streptophyta; Magnoliopsida; Poales; Poaceae
Description: partial small subunit ribosomal RNA
Source: RNAcentral